This 497-nucleotide ribosomal RNA is filed under the name uncultured bacterium. Its description in RNAcentral is "partial 16S ribosomal RNA". It matches the Rfam family "Bacterial small subunit ribosomal RNA", at positions 28 to 507 of the family's 1533-position model. The record is from RNAcentral.
GAUGAACGCUGGCGGCGUGCCUAAUACAUGCAAGUCGAGCGAACAGACGAGGAGCUUGCUCCUCUGACGUUAGCGGCGGACGGGUGAGUAACACGUGGAUAACCUACCUAUAAGACUGGGAUAACUUCGGGAAACCGGAGCUAAUCCCGGAUAAUAUAUUGAACCGCAUGGUUCAAUAGUGAAAGACGGUUUUGCUGUCACUUAUAGAUGGUUCCGCGCCGCAUUAGCUAGUUGGUAAGGUAACGGCUUACCAAGGCAACGAUGCGUAGCCGACCUGAGAGGGUGAUCGGCCACACGGGAGCUGAGACACGGUCCAGACUCCUACGGGAGGCAGCAGUAGGGAAUCGUCCGCAAUGGGCGAGAGCUUGACGGAGCAACGCCGCGUGAGUGAUGAAGGUCUUGGGAUCGUAAAACUCUGUUAUUGGGGAAGAACAAAUGUGUAAGUAACUAUGCACGUCUUGACGGUACCUAAUCAGAAAGCCACGGCUAACUACGUG